This 465-nucleotide ribosomal RNA is filed under the name uncultured bacterium. Its description in RNAcentral is "partial 16S ribosomal RNA". It matches the Rfam family "Bacterial small subunit ribosomal RNA", at positions 338 to 795 of the family's 1533-position model. The record is from RNAcentral.
CCUACGGGAGGCUGCAGUAGGGAAUCUUCCACAAUGGGCGAAAGCCUGAAGGAGCAACGCCGCGUGGGUGAAGAAGGUCUUCGGAUCGUAAAACCCUGUUGUUAGAGAAGAAAGUGCGUGAGAGUAACUGUUCACGUUUCGACGGUAUCUAACCAGAAAGCCACGGCUAACUACGUGACAGCAGCCGCGGUAAUACGUAGGUGGCAAGCGUUAUCCGGUUUUAUUGGGCGUAAAGGGAACGCAGGCGGUCUUUUAAGUCUGAUGUGAAAGCCUUCGGCUUAACCGGAGUAGUGCAUUGGAUACUGUGAGACUUGAGUGCAGAAGAGGAAAGGGGAACUCCAUGUGUAGCGGUGAAAUGCUUAGAGAUAUGGAAGAACACCAGUGGCGAAGGCGGCUCUCUGGUCUGUUUCUGACGCUGAGGUUCGAAAGCGUGGGUAGCAAACAGGAGUAGAUACCCGUGUAGUC